AUCGCUUCUCGGCCUUAUGGCUAAGAUCAAAGUGUAGUAUCUGUUCUUAUCAGCUUAAUAUCUGAUACACUCCCCAUAGGGGAGUCAGAAUGUUAAUCUGAUUUUUGGAAACUGACGGAGUUGUUGGAGCUUGCUCUACCUCUGUCGCGAGUCAGCCUGGCAUUGCAGUAGCGCCGGGAUUUGGCUCAAUCACA
Molecule: non-coding RNA, 194 nt
Organism: Habropoda laboriosa
Lineage: Eukaryota; Metazoa; Arthropoda; Insecta; Hymenoptera; Apidae
Source: Rfam